Molecule: ribosomal RNA, 301 nt
Filed under: uncultured bacterium
Lineage: Bacteria
Description: partial 16S ribosomal RNA
Rfam family: Bacterial small subunit ribosomal RNA
Source: RNAcentral
CAGCCGCCGCGGUAAUACGAAGGGGGCUAGCGUUGUUCGGAUUUACUGGGCGUAAAGGGCGCGUAGGCGGGCUGAUAAGUCAGGGGUGAAAUCCCAAGGCUCAACCUUGGAACUGCCUUUGAUACUGUUUGUCUUGAGUUCGAGAGAGGUAAGUGGAACUGCGAGUGUAGAGGUGAAAUUCGUAGAUAUUCGCAAGAACACCAGUGGCGAAGGCGGCUUACUGGCUCGAAACUGACGCUGAGGCGCGAAAGCGUGGGGAGCAAACAGGAUUAGAUACCCCUGUAGUCCCUGUCUCUUAUAC